AAGGCUUUAAGUUAAAUAAACUAAUAGCCUUCAAAGCUAUAAAUAUAAGAAAUGAUCUUUUAAGCCUUAG
RNAcentral lists this transfer RNA (70 nucleotides) under Oxysarcodexia varia. Its description in RNAcentral is "tRNA-Trp". It matches the Rfam family "tRNA". From Rfam's summary of the family: Transfer RNA (tRNA) molecules are approximately 80 nucleotides in length. Their secondary structure includes four short double-helical elements and three loops (D, anti-codon, and T loops). Lineage: Eukaryota; Metazoa; Arthropoda; Insecta; Diptera; Sarcophagidae. The record is from RNAcentral.